GACUGAAGCCAGAUUUGUGUUCCUCUUUUGGCAGAUUUCGUCAGAUUGACAAGGGAACUUUGUAGAAAGCCUCUUCCUAUACUGGGAGGGAGAGAAACAAGGGAAAGUGAGAGGGACCUUGAUUCUGAGGUAAGUUCUAAGACCUCUUAGCAUAGCAAAGUGCCAGGCUCUGUGGCAUUGUUUUCUGAGUCCCAACAUACAGUUUGCUGCUGUGGACCUUGUCCUACAGAGCCCAGAGACUUUGAUUUCAGUUAGAAUCUCACCCCUACUGGUUGUAUCAUUGUGACUGAUGUUUCUACCCUGUGGACCUUAGUCGACUCCUGUGUGAAAUGAGAAGGCUGAGCUGACUGCCAAGUCCCUUUCCAGCAUGAGCAUGUUAAAGAGUAUGAUUUUUGAUGGGAUGCUCCAUGAAUGAUGUGGAAUGGACUCAUUUGUUUUCACUAAAAAGAAUGGCCUUUAAUUUUAGCAAGAGCAAUUUAGAUGAAAAUUUUUUAAAAAUAUUCUGAAUAUAGCAAAGAAAGGACUUUGAAAUAGUUUACUAUGAAAUGUCUUUUAUCAAUAACAAAAAUCAUCUCCCAAAACAGGCUGCUAGAGUUUACAAAGCUCAUUCAUCUGCAUGUGCCACAUUUGACAUCCAUAUAGGUGGUGAUUAUUAUUGUUUCCAUUUUUUAAAAAGACCAGUGAAAUUAAGUGACUUGCCUAGGAAAAAGAGCCAAGACAUAAGUGAGCUGAUAUUCCAGUCCUUUACUCUUAACUCCAAAUCCCAGAUACUUCCAAGUUUCCCACACAAGCUGUAGUUUCCAUAGUGAGGCAUAGCUGCUGAUUUGACUACAAGGUCACCCAUGUAGCAGGGUUGCAUGUAGACCUUUAUGAAGAGAGAGAAUGAUAUUUUGUUUGAAGAGACAACCUGAUAGUCCUUAAGAAUUGUUCUUUUGUACUCUCUGUUUCCUGGUUGUCAUGUCCCAUACUGCUUUCCUCUGCCCCAUCCUUCUACCAUGAUUUUCUGCCUCACCUCAGGUUCAGGGUUAUGGAGUCGGCCAACCAUGGACUAGACUUCUGGAACCAUGAACCAAAAUGAACUCUUCCUUCUCUAAUUUUUUUGGGGGGGUCACAACAAUGAAACUUUGACUAAAACAAAUUGAUACUAAGAAAUGGGGUCUUUGCUGUGACUAACCUGAUCAUGUGGUUCAAAAAUUUUUGGAGUUUAUGGAAGGAAUUUUGAAAAGUUUAGAGAUGCAAACUGGAAAACCUUUAAAAUAUCGUAAGUGACGCUUAAUGGGAAAUUCUGGUAGGAACUCAGAAGACCAGAAUGCUUCUGAGACUGUGGAUAAUAAAGACUGGGUUCAUAAGGUUCAGAGGAGAAGGAGAACUCUAAUAGAAAUUGAACAGUUGGCCAUUUGUGUUACAUUUUGGCAAAGAAGUUGUCCUCAUUUUGCCCAUAUCCUAAGACUUUCUGUGAGGUUGAAUUUAAAGGUGAUAGACUAAUUAAUCUGGUGGAAGAAACUUCAAGGCAGCACAGCAUUCAGAUUAUGGCAUUGAUACUACUGGAGGCUUUUAGCCAAGUUUAUUGUGAAAAUCGGGAGCAGAAAGCAAAGCCAAAAGAUUUGAAAAACUUGCAGUUUGACCAGAAAAGUGCAAGGAAACAUAGGGCUAAGGAAUACAUGGUUGUCAAAGAGAUUGCAACCACAAAAGAAAUGCUAAAUAGUUUAUCCAGAAACGACAGGAAGUUUCUCCAGCUGCCCGUGCUGGUGAGAUGAGCUGGGUUCAAAGGAGCUGGCUAAAACAUUAAACUAAGAAAAAGAUGAAGAAAUCACACAACACAUGGACACGAGUUUCUCAGGUUGAGGGUGCGACUGCUCUAGGAACUUAAGGGUCAGCUUCCAUGCUGGACAGCACUGGAAAGAGAGAGAGCGUGCACCUGGAAUCUCUUUAUUUUAUAGGGGGGAUACUCAAAGGAGCUUCGAUGGGAUGUUCUUCACCAAAUAAGGCAGGAGAUAAGGUUUCAAAAGGUGGAGUCUUGCUUUGUGAUGUCUUGUGGUCAACAGAUUGAUUGACAUCUUGGCAAGAUACACCCAUCUCAGGUGCUUUGUGGGUUCACAGGCAGAGCAAGAGGAAAGGUACACUUACAUCGCACAGCCCAAUCAGUGUGCAAUGCCAGACCUGUCCCCUCAUAUCGCUCCAAUGAGCAUUGCUCACACACACACAGUCUAUGGAUGGCUCACAACAAGGAAAUAUGGCUUGAGAGCAUCUCAGGAAUUGGCAUGAUCACACCCAUUUGAGGCUCAAGAAUGUAAAAAUAAAAGUUCCUUUGAGAAGAGACCAUGUAUGUAUCCUGCACUGAGGGGCCAAGGAAGUUGUUUCACUGUGCUCAGCCUCUCAGGCACUCAGAGGCUGCUGCAGCCAUAGUCUUACUCAAGAGGCAGAAAUCCUUGGCAUCAACCACAUAGUGCUGGUUCUGCAGGAAUGCAGGAUGCUGGAGUUGGGUCAUGGAGGCUUCCACUGAAAUUUCAAAGGAAAGCCUGGGGGGACCAGGCAAAGUGCAUGGUUGGAAUCCCUGAAGGCAGCCAUUGAGAGGGCAAUGUGUAAAGAUGUGAGAAGGAAGUCAAAGCUGCAAUGGAGACCUCUGAGAUUAAGAGAUGCCAAUAACAUGGAAUAUUUGUCAAGAAAAUCAGCAGAAAUCUACCAAAGAUAAGCCAAGAGAGAAGCUAUCUGUUUCUAGUCAGGAAGACCAUGGGCGUAGAGUUACACAGCCCUUUGGAAAGAGCAUCACAAUUCCAUGUGCCUCAUAUAUGUGAUAUGGAUCUACAGGACUUGUUUGCCCAGUUUGAAUUUUAGUCUUGCUUUGGUCCCAUAUCUUCCUUCUGUGUCCCUAUUUCUCCCUUAUAGAACGGAAAUGUUUACUUUGUGUCAUUGUAUAUUGGAUAUGAGUAACUUGCUUAUUUUUUAAAAUAUCUUUUUAGUUGUAGAUAGACACAAUAACUUUAUUUAUUUUUUUAAUGUGGUGCUGAGGAUCGAACCCAGUGCCUUACACAUAUAAGUUACAUGUUUUACCACUGAGCCACAGAACCCCAGCCCCACAACUUGCUUUUGAUCCUUGUAGGGGAAUACAUCCAAGAGUUUUCCUUGAGUCUCAGAUAAGAUUUUGGACUUACACUUUUGGGUAAUGUUGGAACCAUUACGACUAGGGAUUCUUGGAAAUGGACUAAAUGUAUUUUGCAUUGUAAGAUAGGUAUGAGCUUUGGGGAACCAGGGGCAGAAAUUAUGGUUUAGAUAUGAGAUGUCCCAAAAAGCUCAUGUGUGAGACAAUGCAAGAAUUUUCAGAGGUGAAAUGUUUAGAUUAUGAAAGCUAUAACCUAAUUCAUGGAUUAAUCCAUGGAUAUGGUAUAAGUGGGAGGUAACUAUGGCAAGUAAGGUAUGGCUGGAGAAAACAGUUCACAGGAGAAGUACCUUUAUAUUUUUUGAGGUUUAUGUUUUGUUCCUGGUGAGUGAGGCUUUCUCUCUACUCCCUGGUUGCAGUGUCCUAAGCUGGUUUCCUCUGCUUCACCUUUCUGCCUUGAAGUUCUGUCUUACCUCAGGCCCAGAGCUAUGAAGUUGGUGGACCAUGGGCUGAGUGCCUGAAACUGUGAGCCAAAAUAAAAUUUUCCUUGUUAUGGGUUGUAUGAAAGAUGUUCCCCCAAAACUCAAGUGUGGGACAAUGCAAGAAGAUUUAGAGGAGACAGCCUUAAUCCAAUAAGUGAAUUAAUCUCCUGAUAUGGAUUAACUGAGUGGUAACUGAAGGUGGGUAGGGUGUGGCUGAAUGAGGUAGAUCAUUGGGGGCAUGGUUUUGGGGGUAAAUAUUUUGUAUCUGGCAAGAGAAGUCUCUCUCUCUGCUUCCUGAUCAUCAUGUGUGCUGCUUCCCUCCGCCACACUCUUCUGCUGUGAUAUUCAGCCUUACCUCCAGCCCUAAGGAAUGGAGCCAGCCUUCUAUGGACUGAGACCUCUGAAACCAUGAGUCCCUAAAUAAACUUUUCCUCCUCUAUAAUUGUUCUUGUCAGACCUUUUAGUCACAGCAGUGAAAAAGCUGGCUGAAACAAAUUCAUACUGAGAGUGGGGUUGUUGCUAUGACUAACCUGACAAUGUGGUUCAUUGUCAUAAUGCUUUCGGAUCUUUUUGGAAUUUGUGGGAGGAAUUGUGAGAUGUUUAGCAGUGCAAGCUAUAGGUCUCUUAGUCACAGCAGCAAAAAGCUAGCUAGAACAUUACUCCUUUUAAAAAAUAAAAAUGAAUGGUUUUUUUUUUCCUUUUUUUUUUUCAUUUCCAGUAAGUACAUACAUAUGGUUAAAACUACAGAGACCCACAAAGCAGUCAAAGAGUAGUAUCUAGUAUGGAGCUGGGAUUCUGGCCAUAGUUAAAAUUGUGAGGAUGUGGGCUCUAUUUAUAGUAAAUUUUCAUCAUUAUCAGGGUCUCCUACUUUUCUCUUGUUAGGUGUAGCUGAGUAUUUUUAUAUUAUUUUCCUGAAUUGUCUAUCAUUAUUUUGCUUCUAUAAGUUAAGUGAAUGAAUCUAGGCCGUUUACACAAUCUAAGAUAUGAUUUCAUCUAUUAAAACUGGUAUUUGGACAUAUAUUAUAGAAUCAGAGAACUACAGGUUAGCAAAUCUUUUCAGUUAGGUGUUUGUUUCCUUAGAGUUUCAGAUACUUUAUACAUUUAUAUUAUAGAAAAUUUCCAGCCUGUACAAAGACAGAAGAAAUAUAAGUAAUACUCAUGCUGUCAUCAUCCACCGUUACUAGUUAUCAACUCAUGGCCAAUUUGUUACAUCUGUAACCACAGGCACUACCCUGCCACUACGCUUCUUAAAAAUAAUAGUCAUUAUACCACUUAUUUUAAGAUAUUUGAAUAACAAGUCUUUCCUGCUAUUUUAUUUAGAAUAUCAGUGGAAAAACCAGGAAAAAUUAAAGGCAUAUUCAAGAUUUUAGCUAGAAGAGUAAAACAAAAUAGUUUUGAGAAACAUUCAAUUGACACCAAUUUUCAUGAAAAAGAAAUAAUAUUUCCUUUUAUUAUGAGACAAAACAACAUAAUAGGAUAUUAAUUACUUUUUUUUUAAAAAAAUGCUUUAUAUUUCACAAAGUGCUUGCAAGUAGAUUUCAUGUUUGGCUCUCAUAGGUGUAUGAAAUAAGUAGGAGCUCAUUCUAUUUUAAGGAUAAUAAAAAAUGUUCAGAAGUGACUUAUCCAGUGCUGCAGGAUGUGGCUCAAUGAUAGAGCACAGGCCUAGUCUGCAGAGUUCCUGGCUUUGGUCAACAACAACAACAACGUGAACAAAAAAUAAAUAAAUAAAAAGGAGAAAGAGAAAUGAUUUAUCCAAUAUCAACCCCUGAUUAAUGACAGUAAUUGGACCUCAAACUAGUCCUAUGUUCAAGUCCCCUCUUCUUCCUAUUAAUAGCCUGAAAAUAGAAUCUCAAUGAAGGAUUAAAUUUAUAUGUAUCCGUUGUACAUAAAUUAGUGAUCUUUUGUUAUAAAUGAUGGAAUAUUAACUCAAACAAGCUUAGGCAAAAAGGAGAAUUUGGGAGUUCAGAAAAUAGGAAGUGGAGGUAUAGGUCAUGUUCAGAUAUUGCAGGAAACAGGUACUCAGAUGAUAAACUGGAAAUCCAUCUUUUGCUAUGUCUUGGUUCCAUUCUCACUGAUAUUGAGUGCUUUCUCUGGCACGUUUUUUCCAUUGGUGGCAAAAAGGCUUACAUUCUACCAGUUGGUCAACCCUGGCAGAAAUAAGUUCACACUGAUUAGCCCAAACUGAGUCAAAUGUCCAUCCUUAGAGUAGGUAUAGGGUUUGCCUCAUCUGCACUGUGCCUCUAGUGAGAUGCACACUCUGAGAAAUUGGUGCAUGAAAAAGGGGAAAUUUGAAUGUUGGUACUGUAACAAGGGAAAAAGAGUACCCAGCAGAUCAAAGGCACUAGUUGUCUUUAUCCCUGUCCUUACAAAUGAGCAGGAAGUUCAAAAAAUAUAUAUAUUAGAAAGGGAUUGGAUACCCUAAUACUCUCAGCUCAUUGGAUAAUCUGCCCACUCCCAAAACUUACUAAGGAGAUAACAAUGCAAUUACAUAAAGCUUUAUGACUGAGGUGUACUCAUGGUUUUAUGAUUGGGUGGUUCUAAAUCAAAGGGCUUUUCAUGUUUACAAAGCACUCUGUGUACAUUAUUUUAGGUAAGCUUCACAACAACCCUGAGAUAAAUACCAUCAGACUCUUGACCCGGAAGAGAAAGAAACCUGUGAGAUGUGGGUGGAAGGCUUUCAACUGAACUUAUCUCAUGCUCUUUCCUAAAAAUGACGUUUCAACCUCCUCAGUGGGAUUGAGGAUCACAGGACUCACAGGGUGCUUGACCACUGCAGCAGAGACCUGGGUACUGAAGAGAAAUUUUAUGAGAAAUUAUUAUGUGACAAAACAACAUAAUAGGAUAUUAAUUACUUAUUUUUUAAAAAAUGCUUUAUAUUUCACAAAGCAAAUCAGCACAUACAAAACGGAUGGCAUGUUUUCUCCAUCUGCUUAUGGGAAUAGGCAGAAGACCUGAGCCCAUGUAGUCACCCAAUGGCUAGCUGGGCAGGAGUCUGAAAAUAGGUGAAAAUUUAGUUAGCUAAGCAGAAGACAAACUUGAGAGAUUGUUUGGACAAUGAUAAAAAUUAUGAAAGCUGCAAUUAGAACAAACAGAAGGGAUUCAGCCUGAGCCUAAGAGGAAUUUCAGAAAGGAAUGACAGAAUUGUGGCUGAAGUUACCACCAAAGAAGAGAAAUUUUCUUUCCCAAAGGAAGAUCUCAGACUGAAAAUUUGAGCAAACCCCAUGUUCCAGGCAAAUUGUUAACAAAAAACCAACAACAACAAUAAUAAUGUAUCUGGAAAUAUCCUGACAGAAUUUUAAAAAUUUAAUGAUACGGGAUAAAUUCUACAAACAAAAAACCUUCAGGCUGGUCUUAGUCUUCCAGUGGGAUCUCAGUCAGGUUCUUCCCUCAAGUUUGAGCUUUAGACGAAGGCUGGUGUGCUGGCAGCUGAGGUGGUAAAUUGAUUCCAGGGAACAGGACCUCAGUUGAGAAGAGAGGAAAUAACGAAGGAAGAAAAACUGACACCACGCUGCAUUACUGAACUUGUUGGUGCUACAGACGACUGGGACUUGGUGCCACCUUUUGAAGACCUCAACAGAAGGAACCUCAGAGCUAUCUACCUCAAGGUCGGGAGAAGAGAGUCUUUAUCUACCAGCACUCAUCCCCCAUUCGUUGGUAUUGCUGGUUGGGUAGGGAGUGUGGCUGAACUCCCGUAGGUCUCCCUAUUGUUUGAGAAGCCUCAGGGCAGAGAGGAGGAGAGCUACCACCUACCGUGGGAGAAGGGCCAACAGGUCAAAGGCUGGUGUGAGAUGUGGGCAUAAAAGUAUCUGAUAGAGAAGGCAAUGGAGCAACCUCUACAGUACCAUGGAAGAAAGAGGGUGUAGGCCAGGAAUUUUCCAGUACAUUGUCAUUUGAAUUAUAACCAUGAGAGAAAGGCAUGUGGCCAGGCAUAGUAACACUUGCCUGUAAUCCCAGGGAUUUGGGGAGGCUGAGGCAGGAGUAUUGCAAGUUCGAGGACAGCCUCAGCAAUUUAGUGAGGCCCUAAGCAACUUAGCAAGACCCUGUCUCAAAAAAAAAAAAAAAAGAAAAGAAAAGAAAAAAAUAAAAGAAAAGAAGAAAGCUGGGGAUAUUGGGGAUGUGGUUCAGUGGUUAAGUAUCCCUAGGUUCAAUCCCCCAUACCAAAAAAAAAAAAAAAAAAGCAUGUGUAUUAGAUCCCAUCCCACUUUCUACUCAAGAACAUCGCCUGUCCUGGAUCAUUGCCUCUAACAUACAAACAUGGUACUGUUUCUUUUGUUGAUUUUAUUUGAGAUAUAUUUGAUAUACCAAAAAAUUUACUUUCUUGAAGUAUACAACUCAGUGUUGUUUUUUUUUUUUUUGUAUAUUACCAAAGUUGUGCCUCCUUCAUCACUAUCGAAUUCCAAUACAUUUCAUCACCCCCAAAAGAAACCCUGUACCUAAGGUAGCACAGACUCUGUCACUUUUUAGUGUUUGAACUAUUGUUUGUCUCCCUCACAGUUAUGGAUGGUUUGGAUCUGAGAGGUUCCCCAAAGACUCAGGUGUUGAAGGCUUGGUACCCAAUGCAGCAUUGUUCAGAGGUGGGGUUUUUAGGAAGUGAUUGGAUCAUGAGGGCUCUGACCUCAUCAGUGGAUUAGUCUAUUGAUGGCUUUAUAAUCUGAGUGGACUGUUGGGAUGUUGUGGAAACUAUAGGAGGCGGGGCCUAUUUGAAGGGAAUUGAUCUUUGGGAGUGUGCCCUUGGGAACUUUAUCUUGUCUCUGCUCCUUCCCCUCUCUCUUCACUUCCUGGCUGCCAUGAGGUGAGCGUCUUUCUUCUGCCACCUUCUACCCAGGGUCUUGCACGUGCUAGGAAACAGGCCUAAAAGAAAUGAAGCCAGCUGAUCAUAUACUAAAAACUCUGAAACUAUGAGCCAAAAUAAACCUUUUUUUCCCUUAAAGUUGAUUUUAUCAGGUAUUUUGUCACAGCAACAGAAAGCUGAAUAAAAAAACCAAUUUGUUUUAUUUACCACAGUAUCUUCAGUUUUUAGAACCAUGCUAUAUAUUUUUUGAUUAAAUUGAUAAACAUUCAAAUACUAUAGGAUUUAGAAAAUAUACCACUGAGAUACAUUUCCUAAACAACCACUCAAAGAUCUGUGGCAAGAUAAUGAAAAAGGUAAAACAUAAGCAUUCAAGUACAAGAAAACUAGUGCUAGAAUGGUCAGGUCCUAAAUAUCAAAAGCAGGGUAUGACUGUCUUAUAUUUAAAAAUUAGGAAAAAAGGGAAAGAGAUUCAUCUAUUUUAGAAGAAAGAAGAAAAAAAUUAUAUUGGGGAUGAAAUAAUUAUGUGACAUUAUAUACAACAUUAAGUAACAUUAUAUAACAGGUAUAUAAAAUUAUUAUAUCCCAUUUUAUAUGUGUAGAAAAUAGAUGAAAAAAUACCCAAGGAAUUUGUGGCAAUGGGGUACAAUUAAAAGGGUAUGUAAAAGGAGAAAGGCUUUAACCCUCUUGUCUCUUGUGCAUUGUUCAAAUUUGUUUUUUCAAUAGGUCUGUAGAACAUCUAUAAUAAAAAAUUAAGAAAUAAAUAGGGAGGCCAAAAAAUGACUAAUAUCACUAUAAUUAGGCAUGCCUUUAAUGCUAGCAACUUGGAGGCAAAGGCAGGAGGAUUCAAGUUCAAGGCCAGCCUCAGCAACUUUGUGAGACCCUAUCUUAAAGUUUUUUAAAAAAAGGACUGGGGAUAUGGCUCAGUGAUAAAGCACUAUUGGAUUCAAUCCCUAUUUUUUUAAAAAAAUAUUUAUAUUUUAGUUGUAGUUGGACACAAUACCUUUAUUUUAUUUAUUUAUAUGUGAUGCUGAGGAUCAAACCCAGGGUCUUGCACGUGCUAGAUAAGCCCUUUACCGCUGAGCCAAAACCCCCUAGCCCCAAAUUAUAUAUUAAAAAAAAUUGGUAGGAGGCAAAACAGUUAUUAUUUGCAGAUAAUAUUGUUAUCUAAUUAAAAAUCCAAAGAGAAUCAACUGAAAAAUUCUAGAAUCAAAAAUUUGGCAAGACUGCCCAUGCAAAUAUAUUUACAAUACAACAAUAGCUUCCUUGUGUUGCAAGAAAGUAUAAUUAAAUGAUGGAAUAAUAGCAGAAUAAUAAUAAUAACUUGCAGAAUGUGUGCAACUUAAAAAAUUACCCAGAGCUUUCCUGUAUGAUCUCCAAUUAUUUUCACUUGCUUAGCAUUCAUUUCUGGUAACACUGAGUGACUUUCUUGGCAUCCACUCUUUUCUUCUAGCAAUGUUGGUUGGAUUUAGAGGAGCACAUGAUCCAGGUGGGCUCAGUUGAAUUGGUCCCCCUGGAGUUUGGGUUGGGACUGGGUUGCACAAGCUGGAAAAUUGAAACCUGUGUAUCUCAGAGCUGUUGUCCUGCAGAUCAACUUGUGCCUGCCACACAGAGCCCUGGGGCUACUAAGGUUACAGACGUUCUCUGUCUGGUUGUCAACUUCUGUGGGCCGCAGGUCUGUCCUCCUUGCUUCUUUGCCUGCCAGAUAGAGAUGAUGUCUUGGCUGUAUAGAACCAUUACAAUCACUACUGUAAAGCGGUGUCUUUUACUCGGCCCGUUUAAAGUUUCAUGCAAUUACAAUCCAAGUUCCAAUUGAAUAAAUAGGCCAGAGACAGAAUCUAUGUAAUAGAAAAAAGGACUUGAUAUAUGAUAAAGUUAUGAUAAAAUGAUAUACCAUGAAUAAAAAGAGAAACUAAUGGGAUAUAUUAGAAAAAAAUGGCAGUUUGUGGGAGAAACCUAUUUAGUUCUCAUACUUAACAUCUUAUACUAGAGUAAAUAAAUAAAAAUCAAUCCAAAGUGAAUUAAAGUAUUGUUUUUUUAAGUAAUUUUUAAUUGUAGAUGGACACAGUAGCUUUAUUGUAUUUAUUUAUUUUUCUGUGGUACUAAGGAUCAAACCUAGUGCCUCACAUGUGCCAGGCAAGCACUCUACCACUGAGCCACAACCCUAGCCCAAGUAUUAAGUUUUGUAAGAAGGAAAAAUACAGGGAGACUAUAUAAAUGUUGAAAAGUCUUAAUGGAAUCUCUGAUUUCUUCGUGAUAGGCUUCAUAAGCAUAGAAUAAACUGAAUAAAUACAACAGAAAUAGAUUUAACAAGAAGAGAGAUCAGCGGAUAGAGGAAGGAGACUGAGGGGGAGGGAGGAGGCAGGGGAAAAAGGGAAGAAUGUUGGAAUGAAUCUGAGCUAACUUUCCUAUGUUCAUAUACGAACACACCACAGUGAAUCUACCCCCAUGCGUAGAGGGGAGGGAACAGGGGCAGGGGGAAGGAAAGGGGAAGUACUGGGAACUGAAUUAGGGCAAGCUACAUUCAUAUCUGUAUAAUUAUGGCACAAUGAACCCUAAUAUUAUGUAAUACUAAAAGGAACUAAUUAAAAAUAAAUUUAACAGCAUAAAUGUUAAAGUGCCUUGUUGAUCUAAAAACUAAAAAACAAAAAGGCAAGCUUCUUACUUAAGUACCAAUCUGGCCUACAUAACUGCAGUUCUUCUUGUGUUGCAAAUGAAUAAGGAUUUGCCUGCAAAGGCAAGGGAUAGAGAUGGCAGGGGACAAAAUUUAAAAUAUUUAAAGUAGUGGGGCCAGCCUCAGCCACUUAAAUAGGCCCCAAGCAACUUAGCCAGACCCUCUCUCAAAAAAAAAAAAAAAAAAAAAAAAUUAAAAGGGCUGGGGAUGUACUUCAGCUCAGCGCCUCUGGAUUCAAUCCCCAAUGUCCCCCACCAAAAAAAAUUUUGUGGGCCAGACACAUAAAAACUCUUUCUUCAUCCUUCAGUACUCGUCUCAGUACAGAGGUUUCACCUCCAUGUCACCUAACUGGACAACUGCUAGGAAGGUGGCUUGGCCCCUGAGGCAGGAGAAUCACUAGUUCAAAGCCAGCCUCAGCAACUUAGUGAAGCUCUAAGAGACCUUGUCUCUAAAUGAAAUAUUUUUUAAAAAGGGCUGGGGAUGUGGCUCAGUGGUUAAGCACCCCUGGGUUUAAUCCCCAAUAAAAAAUAAAAAUGAAAAAUAAAAAAUAAAUUUUAAAUAUUGUGGCUUAUCUUUAGAACUCCACAUGAAUUUGCUAUUUGAUCACAUCUGUUUGUGUGAAUAUCACACUGCAUUAAAGUGUGCUCAAAGAUGGGCUGCUUUGUGACUUACUAGACCUCCUGGCACACUGCAGGGGAACCUAUUUGAGAAGCAUGAUGCCCUGUAGUAACUACCUAGAAUAAGCUGCUGCCUCUGUGUGGCAUGCCCUUCAGAUCUGCCCCAGCUCACUCUUCAACAGUUUCUCUCUCUUAUAAUUAUGCAGAGGUUGAAUUAAUCCUUCUCAGGACCUGCCUAGUGGACUCUUUCUUCAUCCUUCAAUACUCAUCUCAGUACAGAGGUUUUACCUCCAUGUUACCUCACUGAACAACUGCUAAGAAGGUGACUUUGCCCUUUUCUGCCCCACUGGGUACUAGCAUUGCAAUACCUAGUGCUUGUCUGGAAAUACCAGUGUCCAGCAUAGCAGGGACUACUAAAUAAUGUUAAAUAAUGAUAUCUUCUUUUUGAAUUGUUAGAAUCUUCUCCCAUCACCACUUCUAUGCCUUGGGCAGGAGACCUUGCCUUCCCAGCUAGUCAGUCCUCCUGCAAUCCCCCAAGAGUACGGAACAAAACUAGCAGGUUACAGAGGUUCCACGGGGAUGAGAGACAGGGAUGAAAACUUCCUGCUGAAGGGUUGCCAGUCCUGCUUCCUGUCAUUUCAUUCUGCCCAAUUAGAACCCAGGAGGGAUAUAGGAUGAAUGGUAGCAUAUAUACUCCAAGUGUGUGUAUGUGUGUGUGUGUGUGUGUAUGUCCAUACCCCCAGGUACUGGGUGGGUUUGCCCUGACAAAAUACAUUGCUUCAAAUCAAAGCACUAUCUUUGAAUCCACUGGUAAAUGCAAUGCACAACAGACGGAAGCUGGUCACAGUUGGUCCCGUGCAUGUCCUUUUAUUUCCUCCCCAUGUGAAAUGUGUCUAUGAACAUACACCAUUUUAAUUUUAUUUUAAUUUUGGUGGUGGGGGGAUCUAAUCUAGAGCCUCUAGCAUGCCAGGAAAGUGCUCUAUCACUAAGCACCAAAACAAUACAACACUUUGGGUGGGGGCCAGGUACUGGGGAUUGAACUCAGAGGCACUCAACCACUGAGCCACAUCCCUAGCCCUACUUUGUAUUUUAUCUAGAGACAGUCUCAAUGAGUUGCUCAAUGCUUUAUUUUUUGCUGAGGGUGGGCUUUGAAUUCUUGAACCUCCUGCCUCAGUCUCCUGAGCCGCUGGGAUUACAGGCGUGUGCCACCAUGCCCGGCCCAAUACAUCAUUUUUAAAUAAAAUAUUUUUAACAUUUUCUCCUAACCUGAUCCUCAUUUCUCUUCCUCUGUGCCUAACUUCAUUUUUCCCCUGUUUCUUGAGAUGUUAUAAUAAUAGCAAAAAAAUUUUUUUUAAAUCUUUUAAUUUAUUUUCUAAAAGAACAAAACCAAACACAGUUGGAACAAAAGACCUUCUUCUCCAAGGAUAUGUAGAAGAAAUGAUAGUUGAAAUAGAAAAUCAGGCUGUGCAUGGUGGUGCACAUGUGUAAUUCUAGUGGCUAGAGAGGCUGAAGCAGAAGAAUCACAAUUUUAAGGCCAGCCUCAGCAAUUUAGUGAGGUCCAAAAAACUUAGUAAGACCCUGUCUCAAAACAAAAAAUUUUAAAAAGGGUAGGGGAUGUGGAUCCUUAGUACAACCUCCUCCCUGUCCCCCGCCGUUCAAUCCUCAGUACAACAAACAAACAAACAAACAAAAACUGUUUUGGUGGAUUAAGGUAGAAGCUAGCUUUGAGAGUUUGAAAAUAGAAUCAGGGAAUAUAGAUGAUUGUAGGGUAGUCAGAUAACUCAGAGUUUUUUUUUUUUUAAUUUUUAGCAGCAACAAUCUGAAUGGCAGUAUAGCUUCUUCAGCAGAACUCAGUGGUCCCAGUGGUAGGCUAUGAUGGGAUGUCUUGUAGAUUAAACACAAAAAACCCCAACACUGCUCAGGGAACACCAAUGUAAACAAUUAUGAUCACAGUUUGUUUAGAGGAUUUAGCCCCUGAAAUACCCAGAAUUAUCUGGAAUAGAUUAAUUUCUGUAUAUUUUGUUUGAAAUAUUCAAAAUGUUAAAUAUACUUGCAAAAUUAGUCUGAAAUUUUAUUUCAACAUCAAAGUGUACACAUCUGUUUUUGUUUGCAUUGUAGAAAGUUCACUUUGGUGAGUUGUCAUGUUUCUCAAUAAUGACAAAUUAGGAUACUAUAUUAUAGUAAUAAAAAUAAUAGAAAAGCAGCAUGACAUACCAUUAAUAAUAGUAAUAAAAAUAAUAGUAAUAAAAAUAAACAAAAUUUUUAAUAAAAACAAUAGCAACAAUAGUAAUAAAAGUAAAUAGAAGCUGGACCUAUAAUUCCAGUGGCUCAGGAGGCUGAGGCUGGAGAAUGGCGAAUUCAAAGCCAGCCUCAGCAAAAGUGAGGUGCUAAGCAACUCAGUGAGACCUUGUCUCUAAAUAAAAUAUAAAAUAGGGCCGGGGAUGUGGCUCAAUGGGCAAGUGCCCCUGAGUUCAAUACCCAGUACCAAAAGAUAAAUAAGCAAAUAAGCAAAUAAAUAAAUAAAUAAAUAAAUAAAUAAAUAAGCAAGCAAUAUGACUUCCUAGAAUGAUUUUUUUCCUUUUGGUAUUCUGGUGUUUGAGCACAGGGUCUCAUGCAAGCUAGGCAAGUGCUAUUUCACUGAAGUACAUGCCCAGCUCCUAAUAACCCCUGCUCAUUUUUAAAAAUUUGAAACAGGUUUCACUAAGUUUCCCAGGCUGGCCCUGAGCUUGCCAUCCUCCUGCCUUAGCUUAUUGAGUAUCUGGGAUUACAGGGUACAUCAUGGUGCCUGGUUAAGGUUUUUUUGUUUGUUUUUAUCUAGGUGUUUCCUUUUUAUUUAUUCUACUGAACUUUUUAACUUGGAAAAUUUCAGGCCUCAGAAAAACUAUAAGAAUAUUGCAAUGACCUUGUAUUGCCAUAUUUGCCACAUUUCUUAGUUUAUGGCUUAUGUAACUAUAAUAAACUAAUACAAGCAAUAUUUUUUAAUUUUUUCUGAACCAAUUGAGGGUGGGUUACAGGGGUUAUAGAAUCCUUAAGUACUUCAUUGCAAAUCUCCUGAGAAUGAGGGCAAUCUCAUAUAAGAGAUUACAUAAAAUCUUUGUGCAGUGAUAAAAAUCAGAAAUCUUAACAUGGGUAAUACUAACAUACAGUUCAAAUUGAAAUUUUGGCAAUUGUCCCAGUGAUGUCUUUUAUAAAAGCAACUCUUUUCUCCAAUUCAAGACCCGACCUAAGAUUAUAUGCUUGAUUUAUUUUCAUGCUUCUUCAGUUUUUUUUUUUUUUGAAUCUAGGAAGAUUUCUCAGCCUUUCUUUGCCUUUCAUGACAGAGACUUCUUGAAGUGUUCAGCUUGUUGUUUUUUUGUAGAGAUCUCAAAGGUUCUGAAAAUUUUGAUUGGGAUAAAACUGGGAUUCUAACUCAUGAACAACCACAGAUUAACAAAGAGUCAUUGACCAUCUCCAAUUUUAUUUUUCCAGUGUUGUCUCCCUUCUGACUCAAACUGAUCCUCAAAUAAAGAGCCUGAUUCCUUUAAAAAAUCGAUUUUCUCAUCUUUAAAAUGGGGAUAAACUGCAUGAGGGUGCAUACCUGUAAUCUCAGCAACUCAGGAGGCUGAGGUAGAAGGAUUUGAAAGUUUGAGGCCAGUCUCAGAAACCUAGUGUGACCCUGUCUCAAAAUAAAAAACAAAAGGGACUGUGGGUAUAGCUGGAUGGUAAAGAGCCCCAGGUUCUAUCCCCCAGAACCAAAAAAAAAGAAAGAAAGAAAAAUUACUUGAUUAUUCAGGAUAAUAUUGUUUGUUUGUUUGUUUGUUGAAAGAUAAAAUGAGAAAAUGGAUAUGAUAUCACUCUAGAACUGCAAAACAUUUUACAAAAUGAAAAGCAUUAGUCUUCCAUGUAAAUCAGUGCAACAGGGUUUUUUUUUUUUUUUUUUUUUUGGUUUUUUGUACUGGAAUUGAACCCAGGGAUCUUAAUCACUGAGCCACAUCCAGGGCCCUUUUUAUUUUUUAUUUUGAGACAGGGUCUCACUAAGUUGCUUAGGGCCUUGCUAAGUUGCUGAGGCUGGAUCUGAACUUGUGAUCCUCCUGCCCUCAACCUCCUGAGCCACUGGGAUUACAGUAUUCAUCACUGGGAUCAGCAGUGCAACGGAUUUUUAACUGUCACCAUUGAUACAUGUUAUUCUUCCUAAUAGAAAGAAUACCAUCUAUGUCUUCCCCUCCUUCUCCUCCCCUCUCUUCUUUCUUUCUCUUUCUAUACAACAUACACAGCCUCACUACUAGCAUUCCUUAGACACAAUGUAACAACAUAGCACCAACAGUUAAUUACUAAGAGAAAAAAAAUAACACUUGGAAGAUUUCUCAUUCCUGAUUACUGGACCAUUAGAGACAUAUUGUCUAGAACUUAUUUGAUAACUUUGUUCUGAGGAGUAGUAGAGGUAAGAUAUAAAUCCAUUACAUGAAAGGGAGCCUUAGAAAAAUUCUAGCUCAGAGUGUUCAUCUCCAAAGGUGACAGCUUGCUCAGGCCACACAGCUAAUUCAGAGUCACGACCAGACAGACAGGUUUUGGCUCUUGGUCUACUUGACCUCACACAACCUGAGUUUAGUCAGGCCCCAGGAAGCCAGUCAAUUCAUUAAAGAAUGCCAUCAUCUAAAGGGAUCAACCCAGCCAGGGUCAGUUUGGUCAUCUACUCACCUCAGGGCAUCUGAAUGAAAGGGCAACUGAGGAGGUUGAAUUGGAGUGAGCGGCUUUGGUGCAGGUGGUCUCAGGGUCCCUGGUACCUCUCACAAGGUGGCUCUACUGGGGAGAUAGCAGAACUGCUCUGCUGGAGGGAUCUUCACAGCUUUAUUUAUAUAGAAAACAUUUUCAAGCUUGCAGAAAGAUUGCCAAAAUAAAAAUAGUACAAAGAACACACAAACAUCUUUUACCCAGAUUUGCCUAUUAAGAUUUAACCCCAUGAGCCUUAUUUUGCCACUCCUUCUACUUAUAAAUUUUUUAAAUAUAGUCUUUGAAGGCUGAGGUUGUGGCUCAGCAGUAGAGCACUCACCUAGCAUGUGCAAGGCCCUGGGUUGGAUCCUCAGCACCACAUAAAAAUAAAAUAAAUAAAGGUAUUGUGUCCAACUACAACUAAAAAAUAAAUAUUUAAAAAAAAUCUUUGAAUAGGCAUCAUCUUAAUCAUUUGUUAGUGUAUAGUUCAGUGGUAUCAAGUCCAUUCACAAGGCUGACCUGCUAUCGCCACCAUCCAGCCACAGAGUUCCUCACUUUGCAAAAUUAAAACUCUGUACCCAUUAACACACACACACACACACACACACACCUUCACACACACACACCUUCACACACUCAUGCAUUUUUUUAUGAACCACUUGAGCAUAAAUUAUUUAUGAACCACUUGAGUAUAAAUUAUCUCACCUUUCCCUCUCUAGAAACUUCAAUGUUUAUUUCCUAAAAAUGGGAAUAUUAUCCUAUAUAACACAGUUCAGGAAUCUGUGUAAUAUACCAUUCAUCUUUCAAUUUUGCCAGUUGACCUAACAAUGCUUGUUAGAGUCUGUAAACAAGUCAGGAUGGCGCCUGGCAUUUUGCAGAGGGAGUGGUUUGUGAAGUAACACCAGUGAGCCAUUAAGUGUGGAGAUUCCUUAUUGGUUGACUGCUGUAUCUAGUUUAUGUUAAUUAAGAUAAGCUGUGUGGAAUAUAUAUAUACCCCUCCUGUCCUACAAUAAACGGCUCCCACUCCUGCUGUAUCAAUGUACACAAGUUCCUCGUCACCCCCCACCCCCCGCCCCCGGUUAUUUUGCUGCAGCUGGACUGAGGCAAAUGCUCUUUCUAGAAUUUUCCUCUGCAGUACAAAAUCAAAUCUACAAAGAGGAGUUGCAUUUGGUUGUCUUGUUUUUUAAUCUUUUAAUCUGAAUUGUUUCCAGAGUCUUUGUUUCUUAUGAUGAGGAAUACUCAUCACCAGGUUUUCCUGAUGUUUCCAGUAGUUACAGUCAGGCUGUGCCUUUCAUAGGGAUACCAUGUAAGUGAUAGGUUCUUCCAAGGGCUUUGCAUCUGGAGGAAAUAAUGUCCAGGGGCUCCUCCUAUGACUGGCGAUGUCACAUUUUUUCAUCAGACGCAGGAGUCAUCUUAUUUUUCCACUUUAAAUUUAUUAUUUUAUAAUGGUGGUAUAUAUACAUGAUGGAAUAUUACUCAGCAUUAAAAGAGAAUAAAACUAUGGCAUUUGCAGGUAAAUGUAUGGAGUUGGAGAAUAUCAUCCUAAGUGAAGUAAGCCAAUCCCAAAAAACCAAAUGCCAAAUGUUUUCUCUGAUAUGUGGAUGCUGAUUCAUAGUAGGGGUCGGAAGGAGCAUGAGAAGAAUGGAGGAAUUUUAGAUAGGGCAAAGGGAAGGGAGGGGAAGGUAGGGGAUAUGGGGGUAGGAAAGAGAUGGAACGGUGGAAUGAGAUGGACAUCAUUACCCUAAGUACAUGUAGGAAGACACUAAUGGUGUGACUCUACUUUGUGUACAACCAGAGACACAAAAAAUUGUGCUCUAUGUGUGUACUAUGAAUUGAAAUGCAUUCUGCUGUCAUGUACAACAAAUUAAAAUAAAUAAAUAAUUUUUUUUUUUAAAAAUCACUAUUUUAUUUUCUUCCCUUGCAACCAUGAAGUAGUGGAUGGGAAGACGCUUUCAGAGCAUGCAGUCAAUCUAUUCCUUAUCAAAUUUCUGUCCGGAUUUGGAAUCAAUUGAUGUUUCUUGCCUGAUCCAGUCUCACUAUGUCGGUUGCAAAAGAUCUUUUUUACCUCCUGCCUUCCCUUCACAUUUACUAGUCUGCCCUCAACACUCUCCUCUCAGCAAAAGCCCUCAGUUUUUCUUGUUCAUCUCUCUCAUUCUCUCGCCAUUGGUAUAAAAUCAUGAAUUCUUAAUUUUCCUGUGAUUUAUAUUCAUCAUGUUGAUGUUCAGAUAGUUCCAGGUGGCCAGAGGUGGCACAUAGUGUCCUUGAGACUUGCUCCUUUAUUAUUUUCAUUCAUUUUUUAAUACUUUCUUACUUAAUAAACUUUUGUGCUCAACUCGUCUCUCUGCCCCUGCUCUGGAAUGAAGCCCUACAACCUCCUAACCCAGUGGCAGACACAGGGCUGGUGGGCGGAGGGUGAAUGGGGACCCUGGAGGGAGAAGACUGGGCCUUUCUGGACCUAAACAAAGGAUAAUGUAUAAGUAAAGCAACAAUUUGGUAAAUAGGUUUGUUAUUUUGAGAAAAACCAGGUUAGAGACCUAAAUAAUCCUGUGCCUUGUCAACAGAAUUGAAUAGUACCUUGAGGCAUGGCCUCUGGAGUCAGAUGACCUGGAUUCAGGUUUCAGUUCUGUCAUUUUCUAGCUGUAUGUCCUUAGCAAAGGACUUAGGUUCUUCCUCCAUAAAACAAGAUUGCUUAUGGCAUUAAUAUUAAAAAGUAACACAAGGAGUGCAUUAAAUCUCCCAUGUAAGUGCUGGGCAGAAUCUGUAGCACAUGGAAUUGCUUAGUAAGUCACAAUUCUUAUUGUCAAUUGUAUUUGCUGGAUUCUUGUUCUUUUUCAUCUUCUUGUUUUAAUUGAAUGAAAAAAAAUAACACCUGUCUUUUCAAAUUGAAAAUCAUUCUGUGAAUAUGGUUAAUUCUUUUCAACUAUACAUGGAGCUGAAAAGACCAUUUGGUGACAUGGCUUUUGUUUACAGGCAUGAUGGAAAGAUUUCUAAGACACUGCCCAGUAUUAAAAUAACCCUAAAAAGUGUUCGGAAAACAAUAGUGUUCAAUGUUCACUAGGGGGAGCUAUUAUAACAAAUUAUGUGCUGCUUCUUUUAAAAAUACUUCAUAGUUUAUGGAUAGUGUCUCUUUCCUUCAAGUAAAAAUUGAUAUUAUAUUGUACUUUAUGACAUAAUUAUUUACAAUUAUUUUUACAUAAAUAUUUGUGUAAAAAUAUGGCAUCUGUCUUUAAAAGUAAAUAUUAAUAUGAUUUGGAGAGAACAAAUAUUUCCUAAGCUUUGGAAACUGCUCUAAGGUCUCAUCCUGUUUUGGCCAGAGGAUUUCCUAGAAAUUGUAAGAGCUUAAUAAUGAGUAGAGUAUAUAUAGUUGGAUAAAGUUUAUUGAACACAUUAAAUAGUGAAAUGAAAACAAGCCAUUUAAAAUAGUUGACAAUGUACCCUGAGAUGACAGCAGAAGGUAAAAUAAAGACAGAUGCAACUUGAAAGUAGUCCCUCCAAGUACUACUCCUCUAGAAAGAAGGGAAACUUAGUGGAAAAGCAAUAGGUGUGAAUCAGAUGUAAUCUGGCAAUUUGGGACUCAGUGUAGCACAGCAGUAGGGGGAAAGUCUACAUCUGGGGGCCCCCUUCCAUGCUAUUUGACCCCUGCAAAUACGCUCAGCCUCUGCAGCUGCACUUCUAACAGAAAAGGGUUGGAGCUCCAAAGUUCCUUUGGGUUCUGACACUCUGAUACUGAAAAAGCAUUCGACUGGUGUAAUAAGAUGGCCAUUUGCUUAACUUUUAAUGUCUUUUGUGCUAUAGGCUGAUCUUCCUUGUUUUGCUACGGUCAAAUCUCUCCUCACACCCAGAAUCAGGGUACUAUUUAUUUAUGUGACACUUUCCAAUGUGUCAUUCGUUGUUUUUGUUUGUUUGGUUUUAGGUUCUCCUUGAAGAGCAAGAGAAUGAUUUCUUAGGACUGGACUGCGAUGUGUGUGAGGGAACUGUGGGUGGAAGGAUGGUCUGGGAAAACUGUGAAAAGAACCUUGGUGCUGCUAUCACUCCAAAUAUACUGGAAAGAUGGUGCAAGGAAUACCGCAGAAAGUGAUAGAAGAAAGCUGAAUGAAAACAGAGAUUUGACUUCAAAAAAAGCAAGAUUUGAUCCAUAUGGAAAGAAUAUGUUCUCCACUUGCAGAAUGUGUUCAAGUGCUGUGCACCAUUCGGGUUCUCAUUACUGCCAGGGCUGUGCUGGCAAAAGGGGCAUCUGUGCCAUGUGUGGGAAAAGGUUUUGGAUACCCAAAACUACAAGCAAACAUCUAUGUUAAUGUAUUGAUGAAGUUUCCAUAAUUUUACUUUCUGCUUUGUAUUUUCAAAGCCUUGCAUAGGUGUCCAACUUAAAAAUAACCAAUUACAUUUUAGCUAGCGAAGUUGAUCAGUGUUCAUUCUUUUGCUCUCCAUAAGUCCUUCACAAUAGCAAUGUAACUAAAUCUUAUGCUUUAAGUGAUUAUUUUCCUUAUGAGCAUUUUAUUGAACUAAAGUGUCAAAAUCAAUGGAAAAAAAUUCUGUGUUCUGUGUGCACUUUUUACUUGACAGUGUUUGUAUAGUUCUUGUCCCCUCCAACUGUUAGGGUCUGUAAACAAGUCAAGAUGGCGCCUGGCAUUUUGUCAGAGGGAGUGGUUUGUGAAGUAAUGCCAGCGAGCCAUUAAGUGUGGAGAUUCCUUAUUGUUUGACUGCUGUAUCUAG
Molecule: long non-coding RNA, 21061 nt
Filed under: Marmota monax (woodchuck)
Lineage: Eukaryota; Metazoa; Chordata; Mammalia; Rodentia; Sciuridae
Source: RNAcentral